RNAcentral lists this ribosomal RNA (467 nucleotides) under uncultured bacterium. Its description in RNAcentral is "partial 16S ribosomal RNA". It matches the Rfam family "Bacterial small subunit ribosomal RNA", at positions 29 to 507 of the family's 1533-position model. The record is from RNAcentral.
ACGAACGCUGGCGGCGUGCUUCACCCAUGCAGGUCGCACGGAAAGGCCCUGCUUUUGUGGGGUGCUCGAGUGGCGAACGGGUGAGUAACACGUGAGUAACCUGCCCUUGACUUUGGGAUAACUUCAGGAAACUGGGGCUAAUACCGGAUAGGAGCUCCUGCUGCAUGGUGGGGGUUGGAAAGUUUCGGCGGUUGGGGAUGGACUCGCGGCUUAUCAGCUUGUUGGUGGGGUAGUGGCUUACCAAGGCUUUGACGGGUAGCCGGCCUGAGAGGGUGACCGGCCACAUUGGGACUGAGAUACGGCCCAGACUCCUACGGGAGGCAGCAGUGGGGAAUAUUGCACAAUGGGCGGAAGCCUGAUGCAGCAACGCCGCGUGCGGGAUGACGGCCUUCGGGUUGUAAACCGCUUUCGCCUGUGACGAAGCGUGAGUGACGGUAAUGGGUAAAGAAGCACCGGCUAACUACGUG